GGGGGCGUUUUUUGGCUUCGACGGGAGUUGUAAAGCCUAAGGGGCAUGCCGAGUAUGUAGCUUAAUCUCGUUAAAAUUAGCUGCAGGCAAAUAUAACUGCCAACGAUAAAAACUACGCACUAGCAGCUUAAAAAACUGACGAAUGCCCUCUGACCUAAUGUUCUUAUGCGUUAGAUAUUCAGGGGUCGAUUUACAUAGGAUCGCUAAUUACAUUGCUCUAAUGUAAAUAGCUAAAUUAUAAGAGAUCGCAUCAUAUAAGCCUGCUAGGCAGCAAAACAUGAUGUUAAAUUUUUAUGUUUAGCUAAGCAUGUAGAUCCAAGGGGAGAGCGCUUGCGGACGCGGGUUCAAAUCCCGCCGCCUCCACCA
RNAcentral lists this transfer-messenger RNA (366 nucleotides) under Gammaproteobacteria (g-proteobacteria). RNAcentral describes it as "JABJGS01 sp018703155 Standard tmRNA". It matches the Rfam family "transfer-messenger RNA". Rfam says of the family: Bacterial tmRNA, also known as 10Sa RNA or SsrA, is named for its dual tRNA and mRNA-like properties. Its role is to liberate the mRNA from a stalled ribosome. The record is from RNAcentral. Lineage: Bacteria; Pseudomonadati; Pseudomonadota. RNAcentral also lists the same sequence under 2 other names.